RNAcentral lists this ribosomal RNA (804 nucleotides) under Leptosphaerulina sp. DBCMVB. RNAcentral describes it as "eukaryotic LSU rRNA". It matches the Rfam family "Eukaryotic large subunit ribosomal RNA", at positions 35 to 855 of the family's 3401-position model. Lineage: Eukaryota; Fungi; Ascomycota; Dothideomycetes; Pleosporales; Didymellaceae. The record is from RNAcentral.
UAAGCAUAUCAAUAAGCGGAGGAAAAGAAAGCAACAGCGAUAGCCUCAGUAACGGCGAGUGAAGCGGCUACAGCUCAAAUUUGAAAUCUGGCCUCCUUUGGGGGUCCGAGUUGUAAUUUGCAGAGGAUGCUUUGGCAUUGGCGGCGGUCUAAGUUCCUUGGAACAGGACAUCGCAGAGGGUGAGAAUCCCGUACGUGGGCGCCUGCCUUUGCCGUGUAAAGCUCCUUCGACGAGUCGAGUUGUUUGGGAAUGCAGCUCUAAAUGGGAGGUAAAUUUCUCCUAAAGCUAAAUACCGGCCAGAGACCGAUAGCGCACAAGUAGAGUGAUCGAAAGAUGAAAAGUACUUUGGAAAGAGAGUCAAAUAGCACGUGAAAUUGUUGAAAGGGAAGCGCUUGCAGCCAGACUUGCCCGCAGUUGCUCACCUAGGCUUUCGCCUGGGGCACUCUUCUGCGGGCAGGCCAGCAUCAGUUUGGGCGGUCGGAUAAAGGCCUCUGUCAUGUACCACCCCUCGGGGUGGCCUUAUAGGGGAGGCGUAAUGCGACCAGCCCGGACUGAGGUCCGCGCAUCUGCUAGGAUGCUGGCGUAAUGGCUGUAAGCGGCCCGUCUUGAAAACACGGACCAAGGAGUCUAACAUCUAUGCGAGUGUUUGGGUGUCAAGCCCGGGCGCGCAAUGAAAGUGAACGGAGGUGGGAACCUUUCGGGGUGCACCAUCGACCGAUCCUGAAGUCUUCGGAUGGAUUUGAGUAAGAGCAUAGCUGUUGGGACCCGAAAGAUGGUGAACUAUGCUGAAUAGGGUGAAGCCAG